RNAcentral lists this unclassified non-coding RNA (228 nucleotides) under Hevea brasiliensis (rubber tree). Lineage: Eukaryota; Viridiplantae; Streptophyta; Magnoliopsida; Malpighiales; Euphorbiaceae. The record is from RNAcentral.
AGCCCUGUAACAUGUAUAUAUUAUAUCAAUGACAGCUCCCUUCAUCUCAAAAGCAGGAGAGAGUCAGUACAACAAGAUACUCGUAUAUCCUCAUCCAUGGUAUACAUAUAACAUUCUUGCAAUAUGUAAUAAGAUAGCCAGGUCCUCAUGAUAAGAAAUUUACCACUGUACCACAGCCCACAUGAAGAAUACUAGUACCAACUAGUUGUGUAUAAACAUGUUUUAUUU